Molecule: small nucleolar RNA, 71 nt
Filed under: Ochotona princeps (American pika)
Lineage: Eukaryota; Metazoa; Chordata; Mammalia; Lagomorpha; Ochotonidae
Description: Small nucleolar RNA SNORD112 (ENSOPRG00000022279.1)
Source: RNAcentral
UGCAGCAGUGAUGAUGGAGUCUCAUAAACCAUGUAUUAUGAUUAUUUUAAUUCUAUACAUCUUAGGUCAAU